AUACCGCCCUAGUUCUAACCAUAAACGAUGCCAACUAGCGAUCCGCCUGAGUUCCUCAAAUGACUCGGCGGGCAGCUUCCGGGAAACCAAAGUGUUUGGGUUCCGGGGGAAGUAUGGUUGCAAAGCUGAAACUUAAAGGAAUUGACGGAAGGGCACCACCAGGAGUGGAGCCUGCGGCUUAAUUUGACUCAACACGGGAAAACUUACCCGGCCCGGACACUGGAAGGAUUGACAGAUUAAGAGCUCUUUCUUGAUUCAGUGGGUGGUGGUGCAUGGCCGUUCUUAGUUGGUGGAGCGAUUUGUCUGGUUAAUUCCGAUAACGAACGAGACUCUAGCCUACUAAAUAGGCGUUCCGAUCCUUUAUGUCGGACGUUCUUCUUAGAGGGACAAGCGGCUUUUAGCCGCACGAGACAGAGCAAUAACAGGUCUGUGAUGCCCUUAGAUGUCCGGGGCCGCACGCGCGCUACACUGAAGGAAUCAGCGUGUGCUUUCCCUGUCUGGUAGGACUGGGUAACCCGUUAAACCUCCUUCGUGAUAGGGAUAGGGAUUUGUAAUUGUUCCCUUGAACGAGGAAUUCCCAGUAAGCACGAGUCAUAAGCUCGUGUUGAUUACGUCCCUGCCCUUUGUACACACCGCCCGUCGCUACUACCGAUUGAAUGAUUUAGUGAGGUCUUCGGACUGGCGCUCGUAGCGACCUUUGGCCGCGCCGACGUGCCGGAAAGAUGACCAAACUUGAUCAUUUAGAGGAAGUAAAAGU
Molecule: ribosomal RNA, 757 nt
Filed under: Parachtes deminutus
Lineage: Eukaryota; Metazoa; Arthropoda; Arachnida; Araneae; Dysderidae
Description: SSU rRNA
Rfam family: Eukaryotic small subunit ribosomal RNA
Source: RNAcentral